This 114-nucleotide ribosomal RNA is filed under the name Candidatus Kaiserbacteria bacterium RIFCSPLOWO2_01_FULL_54_24. Lineage: Bacteria; Candidatus Kaiseribacteriota. The record is from RNAcentral.
AGUGGUGGCUCAACGCGAGUGAUACACCCGUUCUCAUUCCGAACACGGAAGUUAAGACUCGUAGUGCCGAUGGUAGUCUCUGUCACAGGAGGCGAGAGUAGGUAGCUGCCACGA